GACUGGAAUUCACCUUCGGGUGAUAGUACGGUGGCGGACGGGUGAGUAACGCGUAAAGAACUUGCCCUCUAGACUGGGACAACUGUUGGAAACGACAGCUAAUACCGGAUAUUAUGAGAUUCUCGCAUGGGAAACUUAUGAAAGGCUAUAUGCGCUAGAGGAGAGCUUUGCGUGCCAUUAGGUAGUUGGUAGGGUGAUGGCCUACCAAGCCGACGAUGGCUAGCCGGCCUGAGAGGGUGAUCGGCCACAAGGGGACUGAGACACGGCCCUUACUCCUACGGGGGGCAGCAGUGGGGAAUAUUGGACAAUGGACCAAAAGUCUGAUCCAGCAAUUCUGUGUGCACGAUGAAGUUU
RNAcentral lists this ribosomal RNA (354 nucleotides) under uncultured Propionigenium sp. RNAcentral describes it as "bacterial SSU rRNA". It matches the Rfam family "Bacterial small subunit ribosomal RNA", at positions 65 to 416 of the family's 1533-position model. The record is from RNAcentral. Lineage: Bacteria; Fusobacteriati; Fusobacteriota; Fusobacteriia; Fusobacteriales; Fusobacteriaceae.